Molecule: long non-coding RNA, 3884 nt
Filed under: Sus scrofa (pig)
Lineage: Eukaryota; Metazoa; Chordata; Mammalia; Artiodactyla; Suidae
Description: lncRNA (ENSSSCG00000060606.1, ENSSSCG00090000871.1)
Source: RNAcentral
GAUUUUAAUUUUUUCCAUUACAGUUGGUUUACAGUGUUCUGUCAAUUUCUGCUGUACAGCAAAGUGACCAGUCACACAUGCUUUUUCUCACAUUAUCCUCCUUUAUGUUCCAUCAUAAGUGACUAGAUAUAGUUCCCUGUGCUAUACAGCAGGAUCUCAUUGCUUACCCACUCCAAAUGCAAGAGUUUGCAUCUAUUAACCCCAGACUCCUAGUCCAUCCCACUCCCUCCUCCUCCCCCUUGGCAACCACAGGUCUGUUCUCCAAGUCCACAAUUUUCUUUUCUGUGGAAAGGUUCAUUUGUGCUAUGUAUUAGAUUAAGUGUGGUAGUGUAAUAGCAUUCCAGGGCACUGAGGGAUGUGCAGAAGGCCCUGCCAUGUGCUUCCUGACUAAAAGGGCACACCCAAAGUAGGAGGGGCUUUACGUCUCACAGGAGCAGUUAGAUAACUCUUACAAAGCAACACUGGCCAUGGCAUUGACUCUCAGAGCCAUGGCAGGGUUGCUGCAUUUGCAGCAGCCCUGGACUAUGGAAUUUUAAAGAAUGAGGACAAUUUUGUGGAAGAGAUGGGACCCUCUUUGUAAGAAACCCAUCAAUAGAGUGAUGCUCUGUAAGAAUGAGGUGUUUUUUGUUGAUCAUUACCACAUUUUAACUUCUGUGUUUAAAAAUCUGGUGUCUUGCUAUAUCAAAUAUUUCUCAUUGCUCAGUGAAGUAACACAGUUAUCAGUCAGGUAAACAUAUCAAAGCCGCUAAUGUCCCUUGUAAAAAUUUACCACAGUGAUUUUAAUUUUGAAGGUGUCUCCUGAACUGCUCAUUAGAACUACAUAAUUGCUAAUAAUUCUGAUGACUGACAAAAUAAAUACAUAAAACAAAAAAGAAGAUAAAACUUUAUUUGAAAAAUAGCAUAUAUGAAUGUUCACUUUUGAACCAGAUUUUUUUAAUGGUUUUUAUUUUUUUCCAUUAUAGCUGGUUUAUAGUGUUCUGUCAAUUUUCUACUGUACAGCAAGGUAAUCCAGUCACACAUACAUAUAUACAUUCUUUUUUCUCACAUUAUCAUACUCCAUCAUAAGUGACUAGAUAUAAUUCCUAGUGCUAUACAGCAGGAUCUCAUUGCUUAACCAUUCCAAAGGCAAUAGUUUGCAUCUAUUAACCCCAAAUUCCCAGUCCAUCCCACUCUCUUCCCCUCCAUCUGGACAACCAUGAGUCUGUUCUCCAUGUCCAUGAUUUUCUGUUCUGUGGAAAGGUUCAUUUGUGCCAUAUAUUAGAUUCCAGAUAUAAGUGAUAUCACAUGGUAUUUGUCUUUCUCUUUCUGGCUCACUUCACUUAAUAUGGGAGUCUCUAGUUCGAUCCAUGUUGCUGCAAAUGGCAUUACUUUGUUUUUUGUGACUGAGUGGUAUUCCAUUGUGUAUAGUUACCACAUCUCCUAAAUCCAUUCAUCUGUCAAUGGACAUUUAGGUUGUUUCCAUGUCUUGGCUAUUGUAUAUAGUGCUGCAAUGAACAUACAUGUGCAUGUGUCUUUUUCAAGGUACACUUUGUCUGGAUAUAUGCCCAAGAGUGGGAUUGCUGGGUCAUAUGGUAGUUCUAUAUUUAGUUUUCUAAGGUACCUCCAUACUGUUUUCCAUAGUGGUUCUACCAAUUUACAUUCCCACUAACAGUGUAGAAGGGUUCCCUUUUCUUCAUACCCUCUCCAGCAUUUGCUAUUUGUGGACUUAUUAAUGCAGACCAUUCUAACUGGUUUGAAGUGGUCCAUCAUAGUAGUUUUGAUUUGCAUUUCUCUAAUAAUCAGUGAUGUUGAACAUUUUUCCAUGUGCUUGUUGGCCAUCUGUAUUUCUUCUUUCAGGUCUUUUGCCCAUUUUUCAAUUGGGUUGUUGGCUUUUUUGCUGUUGAAUUGUAUAGUUGUUUGUAUAUUUUAGAGAUUAAGCCCUUGUUAGUUGCCUCUUUUUAAAUUACUUUCUCCCAUUCUGUAAGUUGUCUUUUUGUUUUCUUUUUGGUUUCCUUUGCUGUGCAAAAGCUUGUUGGUUUUAUUCGGUCCCAUUUAUUAUACAAGAUUUGCCUGGGUGAGUUUUUAAUCUGCCAUAAAACCUAAUUUCACCUUAUAUUCGAAAUAUAAUUCACAAUUUUAAAAAGAUUUUUAAAGUAAACAAUGAUUCUCAAAAUAAUCCUGAUCAUAUGGAUAAAUAAUAAGUCCCAUUUUAGAAACAUAGAAAUGAAGGCUCUGAGAGAUGAGAUAGUUUUUCCAGGCCAAACUGCUCUUUAAAUAAUAGAACUAGGUUUAGACAUUUGGAUAUCAGUACUCUUUUCUGUUGAAAAUAUUGCCUCUUACGUUGGAAGGUAUAUCUGGCUUGCCUACCAUACCCUUCAUUUAAAAUUAUACUUAAAAUUAAGUCAUUAAAAAUAAUUGAACUCUGUACUUUUAGGGAAAGAGGGAAUAUGAAAUGUAUUGGCUCCUAGCAGGAAGUAGUCCCGACUAAAAAGCCAGGGACACUCUAUCAGAAACUCCAGAAAGUACUUAUAAAAUUUGUCACAGGAAAAACAUCAUUGGAUUCAGAUAUUAACCUUCAUCACUUCUAAUCCAGGAAUCACUUAUAGGAAGCAAAAGCUGAAGAAGAAAUAUAAAAGCUAACUGCCUACAUGUCUAUAUGAGAGGCCAUGUUAUCCUAAAGAAAUACACAUUUGAUUUCUUCAGAAGGACGUUCAAAGUUUGUAAAUCACAUUAGUUAAUAAUGCAACUAUGCCGACAAUUGCAAAUGCUUAUUUAGAAAUAGUCAUUAAAAUGCUUGAAAUUUCAAAAUUGACUUGAUAAAAAUCCCAAAGUUUUCCUCAGAACUUUAAAUGAAUACUAAAAACUAAGAAAUAUUAAAACUUAAGAAUAUAAAAACAUAGCUAAUAGUGAUUGGUCUUCAACAAUGUCUUUAGAGAUCCCUAGUUUCUAUUAUACUAUUUGCCUUGUCUAAAAAAAUACGGCAAGGUUUUGGUUUCCAUGGUGACAUAACUCUUUUCAUACAUAUUUAUCAUUGCAAUGCCAGAAACCCACCCCUUUCUAUCAAAGAAUGCUACUUUAGCACUUAAUAAUUGAAGUUAAAGCUGAUUUAUUUUUUAUGUCAGAGUGUUUUAAACAGAUCCCUCUAUCACUGAAAACUGAGGCAGCAUUACAGUCAUUUUCUCAUAAGCAGUUUAUUUCAUACAUGACUUCUGAAAAAUACUUCUGGUUUUUAAAAACUGGAGAAGACUUUGCUUCCUUUUUUCCUUCAGUCAGCACCACAGGGAUUCCCAGCUAAGCUUUCAAAAUGUUGCAGAACAUACAUUACGUAAAGCACACAACCUUCAAUUUCAUUAAUACAGUGUUCAAAAGGAGAACAUGCAUGUCUUGACUUUGCCAAUAAUCAGGGAGCAAUGAAGUUAUUGCCGCCUAUGAAAUUAAUAUUUUGGAAAGCAAAAUGUUUAACGUUCACUCAUUGACUUUUUAAAGUUGUCUAAUUUUCCCUGCCAUCUAAUGAGAGAUUCUAGUUUUCUUCUACAAAGGUCCUUUUUCAUAAAAAUAAAGCCCAUAAUUGGGUAUAUACACUUCAAUCAUCUUAAAUGGUUCUCCUCAUUUUUCCUAAGCUGUAUGUGGCCUCUAGUGGACAGUGCUGUCAUUUUGAGGUCUUAAGUAUCAGUUUUCAGUAUUAUUUAACUCAUUCUGCAUAUUAAAACUACCAAAAAAGAAAAGAAAUAUAAUUAAGGAGGUUAAUUUUUAUUAACCUAUCUUCACUGAAACGUAUCUGUGGUAAUAUAUUUAAGAAAUGAAUGAAAAUAUGAUGAAUUGAAAGAAGUUCAUCCACAAAUAAGCCCUAUUUAAAAGCACUGUGGCAUACCUUAAAACAAUACAAAAUAAAAUGUAUUGGAACU